CGGGGCGUAGCGCAGCCCGGUUAGCGCGCCUGCUUUGGGAGCAGGAGGCCGAGAGUUCAAAUCUCUCCGCCCCGA
This 75-nucleotide transfer RNA is filed under the name bacterium I07. It matches the Rfam family "tRNA". From Rfam's summary of the family: Transfer RNA (tRNA) molecules are approximately 80 nucleotides in length. Their secondary structure includes four short double-helical elements and three loops (D, anti-codon, and T loops). The record is from Rfam by way of RNAcentral.